Long non-coding RNA from Zalophus californianus (California sea lion), 640 nucleotides. RefSeq lists it as uncharacterized. The transcript is spliced from 3 exons. NCBI's taxonomy places the organism in Eukaryota, Metazoa, Chordata, Mammalia, Carnivora, Otariidae. The record is from RefSeq and is a predicted model, not a curated record.
GGCUGUGACUGAGAGCUGUGAAGGGACCUCCUGGGAUGCCAAGACAAGCCCAAGCCUCCGAGGGACUGAACUGGCUUUAAAGAUCUGGCAUUUGGAAAAUAAGAAUAACGGGUGCGGAGUCUUGUUUCGUUCUGUGCCCAGCACUGCUGCAAGUGAUCUACGUGCAUUAACUCACUCAAAGCUUCACAUCCGCAUCGCGGCUAUAAGUAAUCGACAUGCGGUUGGAUCAUUAUAAGAUCUCAGCAUAGGAGCCUAAAGAGUGGACUUCUCAAAAUGAAGAGGUCACAGUCACAAAACCACACCGGAGACUAAAGCGUCCUCUAUUUCUGCAGCUACAUAGUGUUUUCAGUUUCCCUGGCUCUUUAUCAGGAAUGUGUGGGGAGCUUGACUCCAAAUCUGCAACUCUGCUUCAUCCUCCCCAGUUUCUAGCAGACCAGAAGCCUGUUCUCUAGACCAGAGCUUCUCCAACUCUAGAUUCACACAGAUUUUUACCGGAGUAUCUUAUAAAAAAUGCUGGCUCUGAUUCAGUAGGGUGGAGAUGCGACCCAAGAUUCUACAUUUCCUAAUACACUUCCCCAUGAUUUUGAUGCAGCUGGUCCACAGAUCACACAUCUGGACCCAGACCAUCCAAUUCAGUAGC